RNAcentral lists this ribosomal RNA (750 nucleotides) under Streptomyces caviscabies. RNAcentral describes it as "bacterial SSU rRNA". It matches the Rfam family "Bacterial small subunit ribosomal RNA", at positions 54 to 827 of the family's 1533-position model. The record is from RNAcentral. Lineage: Bacteria; Bacillati; Actinomycetota; Actinomycetes; Kitasatosporales; Streptomycetaceae.
CAUGCAAGUCGAACGAUGAAACCGCUUCGGUGGUGGAUUAGUGGCGAACGGGUGAGUAACACGUGGGCAAUCUGCCCUUCACUCUGGGACAAGCCCUGGAAACGGGGUCUAAUACCGGAUAACACUCUGUCCCGCAUGGGACGGGGUUGAAAGCUCCGGCGGUGAAGGAUGAGCCCGCGGCCUAUCAGCUUGUUGGUGGGGUAAUGGCCUACCAAGGCGACGACGGGUAGCCGGCCUGAGAGGGCGACCGGCCACACUGGGACUGAGACACGGCCCAGACUCCUACGGGAGGCAGCAGUGGGGAAUAUUGCACAAUGGGCGAAAGCCUGAUGCAGCGACGCCGCGUGAGGGAUGACGGCCUUCGGGUUGUAAACCUCUUUCAGCAGGGAAGAAGCGAAAGUGACGGUACCUGCAGAAGAAGCGCCGGCUAACUACGUGCCAGCAGCCGCGGUAAUACGUAGGGCGCAAGCGUUGUCCGGAAUUAUUGGGCGUAAAGAGCUCGUAGGCGGCUUGUCACGUCGGAUGUGAAAGCCCGGGGCUUAACCCCGGGUCUGCAUUCGAUACGGGCUAGCUAGAGUGUGGUAGGGGAGAUCGGAAUUCCUGGUGUAGCGGUGAAAUGCGCAGAUAUCAGAGGAACACCGGUGGCGAAAGCGGAUCUCUGGGCCAUUACUGACGCUGAGGAGCGAAAGCGUGGGGAGCGACAGAUUAGAUACCCUGGUAGUCCACGCGUAACGUGGGACUAGUGUGCGA